AGAGUUUGAUCAUGGCUCAGAACGAACGCUGGCGGCGUGGAUAAGACAUGCAAGUCGAGCGCUGAUUACGGGGUAGCAAUAUUCCGUGGUCGGAGCGGCGCAAGGGUGCGUAACACGUGGGUAAUCUGCCAUGAAGUUCGGGAUAACUUGCUGAAAGGCGAGCUAAUACCGGAUGUGACAACUAGAAGACAUCUUUUGGUUGUUAAAGUUGGGGACCGUAAGGCCUGACGCUUCUUGAUGAACCCGCGGCCUAUCAGCUAGUUGGUGAGGUAACGGCCCACCAAGGCUAAGACGGGUAGCUGGUCUGAGAGGACGACCAGCCACACUGGAACUGAGACACGGUCCAGACACCUACGGGUGGCAGCAGUCGAGAAUUUUUCACAAUGGGCGCAAGCCUGAUGGAGCGACGCCGCGUGGGGGAUGAAUGGCUUCGGCCCGUAAACCCCUGUCAUUUGCGAUCAAACCUUAUUAUUUAAAAGAUGAUGAGCUGAUAGUAGCGAAAGAGGAAGGGACGGCUAACUCUGUGCCAGCAGCCGCGGUAAUACAGAGGUCCCAAGCGUUGUUCGGAUUCACUGGGCGUAAAGGGUGCGUAGGUGGUGAGGUAAGUCGGAUGUGAAAGCUCGGAGCUCAACUCCGAAAUGGCAUUGGAAACUACCUUGCUAGAGGGUUGGAGGGGGGACUGGAAUACUUGGUGUAGCAGUGAAAUGCGUAGAUAUCAAGUGGAACACCAGUGGCGAAGGCGAGUCCCUGGACAACUCCUGACACUGAGGCACGAAAGCUAGGGGAGCAAACAGGAUUAGAUACCCUAGUAGUCC
RNAcentral lists this ribosomal RNA (815 nucleotides) under uncultured bacterium. RNAcentral describes it as "bacterial SSU rRNA". It matches the Rfam family "Bacterial small subunit ribosomal RNA", at positions 8 to 796 of the family's 1533-position model. The record is from RNAcentral.